This 703-nucleotide ribosomal RNA is filed under the name uncultured Pseudomonas sp. RNAcentral's name for it is "bacterial SSU rRNA". It matches the Rfam family "Bacterial small subunit ribosomal RNA", at positions 74 to 773 of the family's 1533-position model. The record is from RNAcentral. Lineage: Bacteria; Pseudomonadati; Pseudomonadota; Gammaproteobacteria; Pseudomonadales; Pseudomonadaceae.
GGGAGCUUGCUCCUGGAUUUAGCGGCGGACGGGUGAGUAAAGCCUAGGAAUCUGCCUGGUAGUGGGGGACAACGACUCGAAAGGGUCGCUAAUACCGCAUACGUCCUACGGGAGAAAGUGGGGGAUCUUCGGACCUCACGCUAUCAGAUGAGCCUAGGUCGGAUUAGCUAGUAGGUGAGGUAAUGGCUCACCUAGGCGACGAUCCGUAACUGGUCUGAGAGGAUGAUCAGUCACACUGGAACUGAGACACGGUCCAGACUCCUACGGGAGGCAGCAGUGGGGAAUAUUGGACAAUGGGCGAAAGCCUGAUCCAGCCAUGCCGUGUGUGUGAAGAAGGUCUUCGGAUUGUAAAGCACUUUAAGUUGGGAGGAAGGGUUGUAGUUUAAUACGCUGCAACUUUGACGUUACCAGCAGAAUAAGCACCGGCUAACUCUGUGCCAGCAGCCGCGGUAAUACAGAGGGUGCAAGCGUUAAUCGGAAUUACUGGGCGUAAAGCGCGCGUAGGCGGCUUGAUAAGAUGGGUGUGAAAUCCCCGGGCUUAACCUGGGAACUGCAUCCAUAACUGUCUGGCUAGAGUACAGUAGAGGGUGGUGAAAUUUCCUGUGUAGCGGUGAAAUGCGUAGAUAUAGGAAGGAACACCAGUGGCGAAGGCGACCACCUGGACUGAUACUGACGCUGAGGUGCGAAAGCGUGGGGAGCAAAC